RNAcentral lists this ribosomal RNA (407 nucleotides) under uncultured bacterium. RNAcentral's name for it is "partial 16S ribosomal RNA". It matches the Rfam family "Bacterial small subunit ribosomal RNA", at positions 28 to 526 of the family's 1533-position model. The record is from RNAcentral.
GACGAACGCUGGCGGCGUGCCUACUCCAUGCAAGUAGGACGCAGUUGCGAACGGGUGAGUAACGCGUAGGUAACUACCUAUUAGAGGGGGAUAAAUAUUGGAAACGAUAGCUAAUCCCGCAUACUAGUAGAUGGACCUGCGUUGUAUUAGCUAGUAGGUAGGGUAAUGGCCUAACUAGGCAACGAUACAUAGCCGACCUUAGAGGGUGAUCGGCAAAACUGGGACUGAGACACGGCCCAGACUCCUUCGGUAGGCAGCAGGAGGGAAGCUGCGGCAAUGGGGGGAACCCUGACCGAGCAACGCCGCGGGAGUGAAGAAGGUUUUCGGAUCGUAAAGCUCUGUUGUUAAGGAAGCGGUACUUAACCAGAAAGGGACGGCUAACUCCGUGCCAGCAGCCGCGGGAAUAC